RNAcentral lists this ribosomal RNA (560 nucleotides) under uncultured bacterium. Its description in RNAcentral is "partial 16S ribosomal RNA". It matches the Rfam family "Bacterial small subunit ribosomal RNA", at positions 355 to 907 of the family's 1533-position model. The record is from RNAcentral.
UGGGGAAUUUUGGACAAUGGGGGAAACCCUGAUCCAGCCAUCCCGCGUGUGCGAUGAAGGCCUUCGGGUUGUAAAGCACUUUUGGCAGGAAAGAAACGUCGCGGGUUAAUACCCCGCGAAACUGACGGUACCUGCAGAAUAAGCACCGGCUAACUACGUGCCAGCAGCCGCGGUAAUACGUAGGGUGCAAGCGUUAAUCGGAAUUACUGGGCGUAAAGCGUGCGCAGGCGGUUCGGAAAGAAAGAUGUGAAAUCCCAGAGCUUAACUUUGGAACUGCAUUUUUAACUACCGGGCUAGAGUGUGUCAGAGGGAGGUGGAAUUCCGCGUGUAGCAGUGAAAUGCGUAGAUAUGCGGAGGAACACCGAUGGCGAAGGCAGCCUCCUGGGAUAACACUGACGCUCAUGCACGAAAGCGUGGGGAGCAAACAGGAUUAGAUACCCUGGUAGUCCACGCCCUAAACGAUGUCAACUAGCUGUUGGGGCCUUCGGGCCUUGGUAGCGCAGCUAACGCGUGAAGUUGACCGCCUGGGGAGUACGGUCGCAAGAUUAAAAACUUAAAGG